This is a non-coding RNA of Caenorhabditis elegans, 21 nucleotides long. NCBI's taxonomy places the organism in Eukaryota, Metazoa, Nematoda, Chromadorea, Rhabditida, Rhabditidae. The record is from Ensembl.
UUAAAUGCUGCAUUUUAAUGA